RNAcentral lists this ribosomal RNA (1491 nucleotides) under uncultured bacterium. RNAcentral describes it as "bacterial SSU rRNA". It matches the Rfam family "Bacterial small subunit ribosomal RNA". The record is from RNAcentral.
GACGAACGCUGGCGGCGUGCCUAAUACAUGCAAGUCGAGCGAAGCUCUGCCGGAGGCUUGCCUCUGGCGGAUGACUUAGCGGCGGACGGGUGAGUAACGCGUGGGCAACCUACCCUCGAGUCCGGGACAACCCUGGGAAACCGGGGCUAAUACCGGAUGGACCCCGUGGCCGAUGGUCAUGGGGGAAAGGUGGCCUCUGCUUGCAAGCUACCGCUUGGGGAUGGGCCCGCGUCCCAUUAGCUAGUUGGUGGGGUAAGGGCCCACCAAGGCGACGAUGGGUAGCCGGUCUGAGAGGAUGGCCGGCCACACUGGGACUGAGACACGGCCCAGACUCCUACGGGAGGCAGCAGUCGGGAAUAUUGGGCAAUGGGCGAAAGCCUGACCCAGCGACGCCGCGUGGGGGAGGAAGGCCUUCGGGUCGUAAACCCCUGUCUUCGGGGACGAACGGUCCACCGGCGAACACCCGGUGGAGGUGACGGUACCCGAGGAGGAAGCCCCGGCCAACUACGUGCCAGCAGCCGCGGUAACACGUAGGGGGCGAGCGUUGUCCGGAAUUACUGGGCGUAAAGCGCGUGUAGGCGGCUGGGGAAGUCGGGUGUGAAAGCCGCCGGCUCAACUGGCGGACUGCACUCGAAACUCCCCGGCUUGAGGGCAGGAGAGGGAAGCGGAAUUCCCGGUGUAGCGGUGGAAUGCGUAGAUAUCGGGAGGAACACCAGUGGCGAAGGCGGCUUUCUGGCCUGCACCUGACGCUGAGACGCGAAAGCUAGGGGAGCGAACGGGAUUAGAUACCCCGGUAGUCCUAGCCGUAAACGAUGGACACUAGGUGUGGGAGGUAUCGACCCCUUCCGUGCCGCAGCUAACGCAUUAAGUGUCCCGCCUGGGGAGUAGGGCCGCAAGGUUGAAACUCAAAGGAAUUGACGGGACCCCGCACAAGCAGUGGAGCAUGUGGUUUAAUUCGAAGCAACGCGAAGAACCUUACCAGGGCUUGACAUCUCCGCGAACCCUCCCGAAAGGGAGGGGUGCCCGUCGGGAGCGCGGAGACGGGUGCUGCAUGGUUGUCGUCAGCUCGUGUCGUGAGAUGUUGGGUUAAGUCCCGCAACGAGCGCAACCCCUGUCCUUUGUUGCCAGCGGUCAGGCCGGGCACUCAAAGGAGACUGCCGGAGACGAUCCGGAGGAAGGUGGGGAUGACGUCAAAUCCUCAUGGCCCUUAUGCCCUGGGCGACACACGUGCUACAAUGGCCUGUACAAAGGGCUGCGAUGCCGCGAGGCAAAGCGAAUCCCCAAAGCAGGUCCCAGUUCGGAUUGAAGGCUGCAACUCGCCUUCAUGAAGCCGGAAUUGCUAGUAAUCGCGGAUCAGCCAUGCCGCGGUGAAUACGUUCCCGGGGUUUGUACACACCGCCCGUCACACCAUGGGAGUCGGCAACACCCGAAGUCGGUGAGCCAACCCGCAAGGGAGGCAGCCGCCGAAGGUGGGGCCGAUGACUGGGGUGA